Long non-coding RNA from Hemicordylus capensis (graceful crag lizard), 737 nucleotides. RefSeq lists it as uncharacterized. NCBI's taxonomy places the organism in Eukaryota, Metazoa, Chordata, Lepidosauria, Squamata, Cordylidae. The transcript is spliced from 3 exons. The record is from RefSeq and is a predicted model, not a curated record.
UCCUCCGCUUGAUCAGCCCACAGCAGUGAGCAGCGGUUCUCACUAGCAAAAAUACUUCCUUGGUUGCUAUUGAUUCCAUGUCUUUCUCUCAGUUUUUUUUCCAGAGAGUGAGAUCAUAUAGUUGCUUACCAACACUAUGGAAUUGAAACUCUCUUUGGGGGCUCUCAAGGACAUAGCUUGUUCUUAUUUGGGAGUGAGAAAUCCUCUCUAUGCUGAUUAUAUCGAGCUCUAUGCUUCAGUGUCAACAAAUCCAGGAGCAACAUUAUAGGUCCUCAGCCAGCCUUUGGAGGCCAUAGUUAAGAAGGUGGCAGGAAGAACUGAAGCUGAAUCAAGACUGGCCUGAGAGAUGGCAGGGAAUUUCAGAAUUCAAACAUGGCUAGAAACUCUUUGUGGGCCAGAAACAAUGGGAAAGGGUGCUACACUGCUGCCCGGGAACACCCUAAAGUCAUUCUCCAGCAACGCCAUCACAACACCAUUGGGCCUGGCUUUGAAGUUGCACACAGCCCCAGCAAGUCCUGAGCAUUGGCAAUAGACUCCACUGAAUGUCACCCAGUAAUUUCCAGUCGAUAGCCUGUGCUUUUAACAGCUCCACUACAUUAAGAAUUAUGUACAUAUACCAGCGGCAAUCCACAAAUGCCUAACAAGACUUCCAUUUGAAAUGAACUGUAUCAUGUUUGUUUUUAUUUGCCAACCUUCAUGUAAGCUGGCACAAUCAGCUAAUAUUGGCAAAAUAUGAG